AAACUGGAGAUGGCGACCGGCGCACGGGUGAGUAACACGUAUCCAACCUGUCGAUAACUCGGGGAUAGCCUUUCGAAAGAAAGAUUAAUACCCGAUGGCAUAAUAGAACCGCAUGGUUUGAUUAUUAAAGAAUUUCGGUUAUCGAUGGGGAUGCGUUCCAUUAGGCAGUUGGUGGGGUAACGGCCCACCAAACCUUCGAUGGAUAGGGGUUCUGAGAGGAAGGUCCCCCACAUUGGAACUGAGACACGGUCCAA
This 254-nucleotide ribosomal RNA is filed under the name uncultured bacterium. RNAcentral's name for it is "partial 16S ribosomal RNA". It matches the Rfam family "Bacterial small subunit ribosomal RNA", at positions 79 to 334 of the family's 1533-position model. The record is from RNAcentral.